GAAGCCGUGAGGUGGAGNAAACCCCAGAAAUAAAGUCCCAGUUCGGACUGCAGCCUGCAACUCGGCUGCACGAAGCCGGAAUCGCUAGUAAUCGCAGAUCAGCAUGCCGCGGUGAAUACGUUCCCGGGUCUUGUACACACCGCCCGUCACACCAUGGGAGCCGGGAAUGCCCGAAGUCAGCGGCCCAACCGAAAGGAGGGAGCUGCCGAAGGCAGGCCUGGUGACUGGGGUGAAGUCGUAACAAGGUACC
RNAcentral lists this ribosomal RNA (250 nucleotides) under uncultured bacterium. RNAcentral describes it as "partial 16S ribosomal RNA". It matches the Rfam family "Bacterial small subunit ribosomal RNA", at positions 1251 to 1500 of the family's 1533-position model. The record is from RNAcentral.